This 301-nucleotide ribosomal RNA is filed under the name uncultured bacterium. RNAcentral's name for it is "partial 16S ribosomal RNA". It matches the Rfam family "Bacterial small subunit ribosomal RNA", at positions 509 to 809 of the family's 1533-position model. The record is from RNAcentral.
CAGUAGCCGCGGUAAUACGUAGGGUGCAAGCGUUAAUCGGAAUUACUGGGCGUAAAGCGUGCGCAGGCGGUUAUAUAAGACAGAUGUGAAAUCCCCGGGCUCAACCUGGGAACUGCAUUUGUGACUGUAUAGCUAGAGUACGGCAGAGGGGGAUGGAAUUCCGCGUGUAGCAGUGAAAUGCGUAGAUAUGCGGAGGAACACCGAUGGCGAAGGCAAUCCCCUGGGCCUGUACUGACGCUCAUGCACGAAAGCGUGGGGAGCAAACAGGAUUAGAUACCCCUGUAGCCCUGUCUCUUAUACA